RNAcentral lists this ribosomal RNA (249 nucleotides) under uncultured bacterium. Its description in RNAcentral is "partial 16S ribosomal RNA". It matches the Rfam family "Bacterial small subunit ribosomal RNA", at positions 523 to 769 of the family's 1533-position model. The record is from RNAcentral.
AUACGUAGGUGGCGAGCGUUGUCCGGAAUUACUGGGUGUAAAGGGCGCGUUAGACGGGUGCGUAAGUCAGAUGUGAAAUACCGGGGCUCAACUCCGGGGCUGCAUUUGAAACUAUGUAUCUUGAGUGCAGGAGAGGUAAGUGGAAUUCCUAGUGUAGCGGUGAAAUGCGUAGAUAUUAGGAGGAACACCAGUGGCGAAGGCGACUUACUGGACUGUAACUGACACUGAGGCAACGAAAGCGUGGGGAGC